RNAcentral lists this ribosomal RNA (253 nucleotides) under uncultured bacterium. RNAcentral describes it as "partial 16S ribosomal RNA". It matches the Rfam family "Bacterial small subunit ribosomal RNA", at positions 524 to 776 of the family's 1533-position model. The record is from RNAcentral.
UACGUAGGGUGCAAGCGUUGUCCGGAAUUAUUGGGCGUAAAGAGCUCGUAGGCGGUCUGUCGCGUCUGCUGUGAAAACUCGGGGCUUAACCCCGGGCCUGCAGUGGGUACGGGCAGACUAGAGUGCGGUAGGGGAGACUGGAAUUCCUGGUGUAGCGGUGAAAUGCGCAGAUAUCAGGAGGAACACCGGUGGCGAAGGCGGGUCUCUGGGCCGACCCUGACGCUGAGGCGCGAAGGCGUGGGGAGCGAACGGG